This is a long non-coding RNA of Manis pentadactyla (Chinese pangolin), 1399 nucleotides long. RefSeq lists it as uncharacterized. The transcript has 4 exons. NCBI's taxonomy places the organism in Eukaryota, Metazoa, Chordata, Mammalia, Pholidota, Manidae. The record is from RefSeq and is a predicted model, not a curated record.
UCUUUGUCUGGUGAGGAGCAGGUCUCUGCUUUGUGGGACUGAGUGCGUGCUGUCAAGGGCUGUCUCUACAAUCCACUCGUCAGAGCCUCUGCCUAGGAAGGCUUGUAGAGGAUGGCCACUGACACAGACUCCCUGCAUCUGGAAUUUUAGUGGAAUAGAUUUCCUUAUACAAACAUCCUCUGGGGCUGAGGGACAGAGACGGGAUUUCCUCCCCAUCCGCGGCUGGGCACAGCUCCGUUCCCUCUGACACCCAGUGUCCCUCUAGCCCUCGGAGCUCCGUCUUGCAGCAGUUCCCAGAUCCUUGUCCUGAAUGUUCUGAGCAUGCCCACGCCCGGACUGGGCAGCUACAAGGUCGUGGAGCAUGCCCAGCCCCUCCUUCUAGGCCCUUCCACGCCUGCGGCCGGCCAUCUGGCCUUCCCUGGAUGGCAUGGCAGGUAUUCACAGUCUGGGCUUGCGGCCUUUCUGGCCCCAAGCUCUGAGGACUGCUGCCUUCACAAUAGCCACGUGCCCUGCUGUUCCCAGCGAAGGGCACCCCCUCUGCAGGACGCCCUUGCUGCCCCCCACCCCAUUCUCUGCCCUACCCUGACAGCUCCCCCAGCCUGUUCUCAGGGUCCACUCGGCUUCAUCUUGCCGGGGAGCCUUGGCUGGUGUCAGCGGGGUCGGCACACACUCUGGCUGUACGCACGUCAGCUGCAUGGCAGACCCGGCUGCCUGGCUCUUCCUGCCCCUGCCUCUCACCACAGGUGCGUGUCCUCAUGCCACGGUGAUCUCCUCAGCGUGCUGGCUCCCUGGGAAUGAGGAACAUUUGGCAAGUGAGAUGAAGAGCGUCCAUCCUGAAGGCUCAAAGCUGAAGAAUCCCCUCACAGGCUCAGGACGUCCUGACAAGCCUCCAUGCCUGAGAACUCGCCCACCAACCUCCUGGGGACUCCGGCAGCCUGGCACUCUGCCGGCAUCUUCCGCUGUCCCUUUAGCCACUCUGUGAGGACUUUUUGACCACCAUGGACUUUUCCAGGACGCACACACUGAGGAGGUGAAACAACCUGCCUAGGAGGAGGCAAAUGCUAAGGGGAGGGGCGUCGGCCCGAGCUUUCUGUUGUGACCCAGUCAGCAGCGCCGCCCUGACCCCGGCGCGGGAGCUGCCUUCUCGCCAGGCGUAUUCCAUUACCAGCCUUUCUUUCCAGACUGGGCUGUGUCCCUGCAGUGAUGGUGAUGCUGAGGCUCAGAGAUGAGAAAUGUUAAAGAAAAAGGACUUUUCCUGUAGCCAGUGAGGAGAGGAGACAAAUGGAGGAUCGAGGAGCUCGGGUGCACGUCCUUCAAUGCUUUCAGCCUUACCUUUGGCCUCUGCCCCACAGUGUGGGGACCGUCCUGCCUACCAAGGAUUCCUGCGUCUGCAGCGCCU